GUAGGUGGCAAGCGUUGUCCGGAAUUAUUGGGGCGUAAAGCGCGCGCAGGCGGUUCUUUAAGUCUGAUGUGAAAGCCCACGGGCUCAACCGUGGAGGGCCAUUGGAAACUGGAGAACUUGAGUACAGAAGAGGAAAGCGGAAUUCCACGUGUAGCGGUGAAAUGCGUAGAGAUGUGGAGGAACACCAGUGGCGAAGGCGGCUUUCUGGUCUGUAACUGACGCUGAGGCGCGAAAGCGUGGGGAGCAAACAGGAUUAGAUACCCUGGUAGUCCACGCCGUAAACGAUGAGUGCUAAGUGUUAGGGGGUUUCCGCCCCUUAGUGCUGCAGCUAACGCAUUAAGCACUCCGCCUGGGGAGUACGGCCGCAAAGGCUGA
Molecule: ribosomal RNA, 375 nt
Filed under: uncultured organism
Description: partial 16S ribosomal RNA
Rfam family: Bacterial small subunit ribosomal RNA
Source: RNAcentral